CCAUCUUGAAUCAGGUUUAUUAGCUUUGGAGGCCAUCUUGAAUCAGGUUGGUUAGCUUUGGAGGCCAUCUUGAAUCAGGUUUAUUAGCUUUGGAGGCCAUCUUGAAUCAGGUUGGCUAAAGACUGUCUUCAGUUGUACACGAACAUCAGUGACACUUUCUGUCUUGAGAUAUUUUGCCAACAGUCAACCACAGACAGGAAGUUGCAUCUUUUCCUGUCAGGAAGUGUGUUUUCUGACUUAUUUUGAUAGAAAACAGAACUGCUACAUGAGACGUUGCUGGUUCUGAUCCGUUUACUGGUGUAGAAUGGUUGUAAACGCAGCUCAGGUACUCCAGCAGAACUGGAACCAUGUGACCCACUUCCCGCCCUGCUUAGCUGUGAGCUCCAGCAGGAGGUGAUUGACAGGAAGAGGAAGUGGAUCUGCGUGGCUCUGAAGGAAAAGACCACAUCCUGAAAUUGCAGAGAGGCCUGUCGUGUCAUCAGAACCAGAACCAGACCUCGCUCUGAGUAUGUGAGCUCGGCUGUGAAAUCCAACUGGAUCCUUGUGGUUCUGUUGGGACCGAUGGCUCCUCUUUAUAAAGACUCUUUUCGUGGUUUGAGGAAGUUGUUCUGGUGUCAGAUUAUUGAUUAACUUCACUUCCUGCUGUGGUCCAACUGAGACCCGUUUCUCCAGAACCGUUCAGUAAAUGAUCCAGUGACCUGGUCAGCUGAGUGAGCUGCUGCCAGCCCUGAUCUUGUAUCGUCAUGCUAACGUUAGCGGUUAGCUCUGAGUAAAAUAAGUGUUGAAAUGAAAAACAGCCACAUUUUUACUGUGAAACAGGUUUUUAUUUUGGUAUUUAAAUAAAAUGAGGUAAAACGAGUCACCAGUAUUUAAUUUGAAUAAAGUUUAACAGAAGAUGAAUUUAAACAAACGACCUCUGUUAGCAUCGAAGCUAAAAUCAAAAAAUCUGUAAAGAUUCAAAGAAAAAGGAAAAAAAAAAAAUUAAAUUCUGUAGUUUGGUUUAAAGGUUUUUGUCAUUUUGGAAAACAAACAUUUUAAGGACUCACCAGAAAUAUCACAAACGUUCUGUUAAUUAAUAAUUUCAUWUAUAAAUGUUAUUUUUUCUGAAACAAUUCUUUUUAAAAGGAUAAAAGUUUUCUGGAUGAA
Molecule: long non-coding RNA, 1146 nt
Organism: Austrofundulus limnaeus
Lineage: Eukaryota; Metazoa; Chordata; Actinopteri; Cyprinodontiformes; Rivulidae
Exons: 2
Source: RefSeq, a predicted model, not a curated record